UGAGGAAUAUUGGUCAAUGGCCGUAAGGCUGAACCAGCCAAGUCGCGUGAGGGAAGACGGCCCUACGGGUUGUAAACCUCUUUUGCCGGGGAGCAAAGGCGGUCACUAGUGACCGGAUGAGAGUACCCGGAGAAAAAGCAUCGGCUAACUCCGUGCCAGCAGCCGCGGUAAUACGGAGGAUGCGAGCGUUAUCCGGAUUUAUUGGGUUUAAAGGGUGCGCAGGCGGGAAACCAAGUCAGCGGUCAAAUAUCGGGGCUCAACCCCGACCUGCCGUUGAAACUGGGUUCCUUGAGUGGGCGAGAAGUACGCGGAAUGCGUGGUGUAGCGGUGAAAUGCAUAGAUAUCACGCAGAACUCCGAUUGCGAAGGCAGCGUACCGGCGCCCUACUGACGCUCAUGCACGAAAGCGUGGGUAUCGAACAGG
This 423-nucleotide ribosomal RNA is filed under the name uncultured bacterium. Its description in RNAcentral is "bacterial SSU rRNA". It matches the Rfam family "Bacterial small subunit ribosomal RNA", at positions 355 to 776 of the family's 1533-position model. The record is from RNAcentral.